RNAcentral lists this ribosomal RNA (1867 nucleotides) under Listeria monocytogenes. RNAcentral's name for it is "partial 23S ribosomal RNA". It matches the Rfam family "Bacterial large subunit ribosomal RNA", at positions 458 to 2323 of the family's 2925-position model. The record is from RNAcentral. Lineage: Bacteria; Bacillati; Bacillota; Bacilli; Caryophanales; Listeriaceae.
UCCCAAGGCUAAAUACUCCCUAGUGACCGAUAGUGAACCAGUACCGUGAGGGAAAGGUGAAAAGCACCCCGGAAGGGGAGUGAAACAGUUCCUGAAACCGUGUGCCUACAAGUAGUUAGAGCCCGUUAAUGGGUGAUAGCGUGCCUUUUGUAGAAUGAACCGGCGAGUUACGAUUUGUUGCAAGGUUAAGCGGAAAAAGCGGAGCCGUAGCGAAAGCGAGUCUGAAUAGGGCGCAUAAGUAACAGGUCGUAGACCCGAAACCAGGUGAUCUACCCAUGUCCAGGAUGAAGGUAAGGUAAUACUUACUGGAGGUCCGAACCCACGCACGUUGAAAAGUGCGGGGAUGAGGUGUGGGUAGCGGAGAAAUUCCAAUCGAACUUGGAGAUAGCUGGUUCUCUCCGAAAUAGCUUUAGGGCUAGCCUCGAGGUAAAGAGUCAUGGAGGUAGAGCACUGUUUGGACUAGGGGCCCUUCUCGGGUUACCGAAUUCAGAUAAACUCCGAAUGCCAUGUACUUAUACUCGGGAGUCAGACUGCGAGUGAUAAGAUCCGUAGUCGAAAGGGAAACAGCCCAGACCACCAGUUAAGGUCCCCAAAUAUAUGUUAAGUGGAAAAGGAUGUGGGGUUGCUUAGACAACCAGGAUGUUGGCUUAGAAGCAGCCACCAUUGAAAGAGUGCGUAAUAGCUCACUGGUCGAGUGACCCCGCGCCGAAAAUGUACCGGGGCUAAACAUAUUACCGAAACUGUGGAUGAACCUCUUUAGAGGUUCGUGGUAGGAGAGCGUUCUAAGGGCGGUGAAGUCAGACCGGAAGGACUGGUGGAGCGCUUAGAAGUGAGAAUGCCGGUAUGAGUAGCGAAAGAAGGGUGAGAAUCCCUUCCACCGAAUAUCUAAGGUUUCCUGAGGAAGGCUCGUCCGCUCAGGGUUAGUCGGGACCUAAGCCGAGGCCGAUAGGCGUAGGCGAUGGACAACAGGUAGAGAUUCCUGUACCAGUGCUAAUUGUUUAACCGAUGGGGUGACACAGAAGGAUAGGGAAUCGCACGAAUGGAAAUGUGCGUCCAAGCAGUGAGUGUGAGAAGUAGGCAAAUCCGCUUCUCGCGAAGCAUGAGCUGUGAUGGGGAAGGAAAUUAAGUACGGAAGUUCCUGAUUUCACGCUGUCAAGAAAAGCCUCUAGGAAGAGUAGUACUGCCCGUACCGCAAACCGACACAGGUAGAUGAGGAGAGAAUCCUAAGGUGAGCGAGAGAACUCUCGUUAAGGAACUCGGCAAAAUGACCCCGUAACUUCGGGAGAAGGGGUGCUCUAUUAGGGUGCAAGCCCGAGAGAGCCGCAGUGAAUAGGCCCAGGCGACUGUUUAGCAAAAACACAGGUCUCUGCAAAACCGUAAGGUGACGUAUAGGGGCUGACGCCUGCCCGGUGCUGGAAGGUUAAGAGGAGUGCUUAGCUUCGGCGAAGGUACGAAUUGAAGCCCCAGUAAACGGCGGCCGUAACUAUAACGGUCCUAAGGUAGCGAAAUUCCUUGUCGGGUAAGUUCCGACCCGCACGAAAGGCGCAACGAUCUGGGCACUGUCUCAACGAGAGACUCGGUGAAAUUAUAGUACCUGUGAAGAUGCAGGUUACCCGCGACAGGACGGAAAGACCCCGUGGAGCUUUACUGCAACCUGAUAUGGAAUGUUUGUACCGCUUGUACAGGAUAGGUAGGAGCCGAAGAGACGUGUGCGCUAGCAUACGAGGAGGCAAUGGUGGGAUACUACCCUGGCUGUAUGACCAUUCUAACCCGCCACGCUUAGCGCGUGGGGAGACAGUGUCAGGUGGGCAGUUUGACUGGGGCGGUCGCCUCCUAAAGAGUAACGGAGGCGCCCAAAGGUUCCCUC